RNAcentral lists this long non-coding RNA (300 nucleotides) under Androctonus crassicauda. The record is from RNAcentral. Lineage: Eukaryota; Metazoa; Arthropoda; Arachnida; Scorpiones; Buthidae.
UUUUGUUGUUAAAAUAAGUAUUUUUUUGAAACAAUAAUCUAGGAUGGUUAAAAUUGAAAGGAGUGAUACUGGCUCUAAAUCUUUGAAUCUUUCUGUGAAGUUCCUUACAACUUCAUUCAAGAGCUCUUUCCCAACAUCUUUCAUGGGCUUCAGGUUUUCUAAAUUCUUCUUAAGUAUAGCUGUUAUAGGAAUUGCCAAACUUCCAGUAAGGUAUUUUCCAGAUUUUAUUGAUAGCUUUUUCAAGAGGCUUAAGCACUUGACACAUUUCACCAAGAUUUUCAAUUUCUGUUGCUGUCAGCA